CCUACGGGGGGCUGCAGUGGGGAAUAUUGGACAAUGGGGGGAACCCUGAUCCAGCCAUGCCGCGUGUGUGAAGAAGGCCCUCGGGUUGUAAAGCACUUUCAGUGAGGAAGAACGCCUGGUGGUUAAUACCCAUCAGGAAAGACAUCACUCACAGAAGAAGCACCGGCUAACUCCGUGCCAGCAGCCGCGGUAAUACGGAGGGUGCGAGCGUUAAUCGGAAUUACUGGGCGUAAAGCGCGCGUAGGUGGCUUGAUAAGCCGGUUGUGAAAGCCCCGGGCUCAACCUGGGAACGGCAUCCGGAACUGUCAAGCUAGAGUGCAGGAGAGGAAGGUAGAAUUCCCGGUGUAGCGGUGAAAUGCGUGGAGAUCGGGAGGAAUACCAGUGGCGAAGGCGGCCUUCUGGACUGACACUGACACUGAGGUGCGAAAGCGUGGGUAGCAAACAGGAUUAGAUACCCGGGUAGUC
RNAcentral lists this ribosomal RNA (465 nucleotides) under Vreelandella stevensii. RNAcentral describes it as "partial 16S ribosomal RNA". It matches the Rfam family "Bacterial small subunit ribosomal RNA", at positions 338 to 795 of the family's 1533-position model. The record is from RNAcentral. Lineage: Bacteria; Pseudomonadati; Pseudomonadota; Gammaproteobacteria; Oceanospirillales; Halomonadaceae.